GGGUCCAUGAAUCAUCACAGUUCAGCAUUCCAUUGGAGCGAAGAUUUAAUCUUCGUCGCCGGUGAGCCACUUGAAGAUAGCCUCAUCUUGCUUGUAGAGGAUCGUACAACGAAGGAUCCAGCCCUUCUAGGGCACAUAAUAAUUCCUGUGAGCUCGAUUGAGCAACGGCUCGAUGAGCGACUCGUGCCAGCCAAGUGGUUCGGAUUGGAAGGUGGACCAGGUGGGGCCUACUGCGGGAGGCU
RNAcentral lists this unclassified non-coding RNA (242 nucleotides) under Hevea brasiliensis (rubber tree). The record is from RNAcentral. Lineage: Eukaryota; Viridiplantae; Streptophyta; Magnoliopsida; Malpighiales; Euphorbiaceae.